GACACAACAGGACAGAAUCCAUCCCGUAACGGUAAGACACCACACAGAGCAAGAGCCAGCCACACUCCAUACCUGAGAAGGACACGUCAUUCUGUGACCCAUCCCUGGGCAGGGUCAGUGUGGUGAGGGACCUAGUCCUCUCUGGCUGAGCAGAUCCCAGGGCAGGGGUGUGGUGUUGCUACUGUUUUUUUUUUCCCUAGGUUGUUAGGUAGGACCGGGGACAGACUGGUGAUGUGGAUAACCUUGCCCCUUCUCUGGGGCAUCUUGUCCCCAUACAAUUCCUCCGCUUGGUCCUUUUGUACUCUCCAAAAUGAGGGUCCAGGAGGGAGCACUCAGCCUCUGGGGAAAGAACUAAGGAAUGAGGAACAGAGGGAAGAUCCAGAAUGGAAAAUGGAAUCAGGGAUGGAGCAGGGAUCUUUCUGAUCAGUAGAUCAGAUGGCUGGCCUGAUUGUUUCCCCCAGACUAGGAGUCUAUAGGUCUGGGGCUUCCUCUCUGCUCACCUCAGAGAACAGACACACACAUUUGCACACUCACUCAGCAGGGAGCUAGGGGGGAAAAUGACUCAGUGCCUGAUGUUUGAGCAGAGAACCCAGCUAAGGGUCCAAGAUUUGGGGAAGGGCCAUACAUGUGAUAUCUAAAAAUAAGAUGAACCUGUGGCACAUAAAGGAGUGAAUCUUUGCAGGACGGUACAGGGUAAGUUUCUCUUAGAGAUAAGAGGUCAGAGCUGGAGGAGAAAAGGAAAAUCCAAAGCCAAGGAAAGAAGAGGGCUGGAAGGAACACAGAUGUGAGCAGCUCUGGCAAGGGAGGAGCUGUAGGGAAGGUGUCACGAUCCUGCCACCUCCAGCCAGGACAGAUCCCUCUACAGGUUUUCUCUGCUUUCUGCGUUUGCAUUUCCCAUCCCAAGUUAUCAAGGACUUGCUCUUUUAAAGAGCACUUUUUAACUUGUGGCACUGCAAGGCCACUUCCCUCCACAGAGACACAGACUAUGGAGAACAGCCUCAGAUUCCAGUAAGAAACUGUCCACUGAAGGUGGCAAUAUGAAACUCUCGUGGAAGGCCUUGAUUUUAUGGGAAACAAGAGAAGAUUGAGGAGAAAGAAAGGGCCCCCAAACUGUAAGGAAUAAAAUAGGAAGUGCUGACAUAGAAAUUAAAGGCUCCCUAAUUCUGUGCA
Long non-coding RNA from Sapajus apella (tufted capuchin), 1170 nucleotides. RefSeq lists it as uncharacterized. The record is from RefSeq and is a predicted model, not a curated record. The transcript has 2 exons. Lineage: Eukaryota; Metazoa; Chordata; Mammalia; Primates; Cebidae.